This 210-nucleotide long non-coding RNA is filed under the name Homo sapiens (human). Its description in RNAcentral is "non-protein coding lnc-TSSK2-3:1". The record is from RNAcentral. Lineage: Eukaryota; Metazoa; Chordata; Mammalia; Primates; Hominidae.
GACUGUACCUAGGUGUUCUUUAAUGACAGUUCAAGGGGCCAAUUAAACAGCAAACAGCUUGGCAAGGCCCUGGGGUGUGGUGUGGGCACGAGUGCCUUGUGCCAGUCUGGCCCCAGCACAGCCCCUUUCUCCAGUGACUCCUGGUAUGGUCAACAGCUUCUGGCCCAGGCCUGGGCCCCGAGAAGGCUGGAGUCCUCUGCUGGGUGUACA